Molecule: ribosomal RNA, 215 nt
Filed under: uncultured bacterium
Lineage: Bacteria
Description: partial 16S ribosomal RNA
Rfam family: Bacterial small subunit ribosomal RNA
Source: RNAcentral
CAAAAACCGGUCCCAGUUCGGACUGCAGGCUGCAACCCGCCUGCACGAAGCCGGAGUUGCUAGUAAUCGCGAAUCAGAAUGUCGCGGUGAAUGCGUUCCCGGGUCUUGUACACACCGCCCGUCACACCAUGGAAGCCGGGGCGCCUGAAGUCCGGGACCGCGAGGACCGGCCUAGGGCGAAACUGGUAACGUGGGCUAAGUCGUAACAAGGUAUC